This 450-nucleotide ribosomal RNA is filed under the name uncultured bacterium. RNAcentral describes it as "partial 16S ribosomal RNA". It matches the Rfam family "Bacterial small subunit ribosomal RNA", at positions 29 to 523 of the family's 1533-position model. The record is from RNAcentral.
AGCGAACAUUGGCGGUAGGCUUAACACAUGCAAGUCGAGCGAGGCGUAAUAGUCGAGCGGCGAACGGGUGAGUAAUACAUGGAAAUCUACCCUGAAGUGGGGGAUAACGUCCAGAAAUGGACGCUAAUACCGCAUAAUCCAUAUUGGGAAAGCGUUGCAGCGCUUUAGGAUGAGUCCAUGGCUGAUUAGCUUGUUGGUGAGGUAACGGCUCACCAAGGCGACGAUCAGUAGCUGGUCUGAGAGGAUGACCAGCCACACUGGAACUGAGACACGGUCCAGACUCCUACGGGAGGCAGCAGUGGGGAAUCUUGCGCAAUGGGGGCAACCCUGACGCAGCCAUACCGCGUGAGCGAUGAAGGCCUUAGGGUUGUAAAGCACUUUCACCGGAGAAGAUAAUGACGGUAUCCGGAGAAGAAGCCCCGGCUAACUUCGUGCCAGCAGCCGCCGUAA